Melanaphis sacchari is the source of this 195-nucleotide small nucleolar RNA. RefSeq annotates it as small nucleolar RNA U3. NCBI's taxonomy places the organism in Eukaryota, Metazoa, Arthropoda, Insecta, Hemiptera, Aphididae. The transcript has a single exon. The record is from RefSeq and is a predicted model, not a curated record.
AAGAUCAUACUUCACAGGAUCAUUUCUGUAGUAUGCAUCCUCCAGGUGCAAAUCUGGAGUCGUCAUUGCCACGAUGAUGAGUCAUGUCCAUGCCAGAGCGUGAGGCGGCUAGUGGUCUGCUGUUCGCAGUGAGAUCAUAUAGCAACGAUGAUCGCAACCAGUUUAACUGGAAGGUAUGUGGUCAGUCUGAGUGGU